UGCAGAAUCCUUCCUUAGAGUUUGAUCCUGGCUCAGGACGAACGCUGGCGGCGUGCCUAACACAUGCAAGUCGAACGGGACCCGCAAGGGUCCAGUGGCGAACGGGUGCGUAACACGUGAGGAACGUGCCCAUCGGCGGGGGAUAGCCGGCCCAACGGCCGGGUAAUACCGCGUACGCUCCCUGGGGCGCAUGUCCCGGGGAGGAAAGCAGCAAUGCACCGAUGGAGCGCCUCGCGGCCUAUCAGCUAGUUGGCGGGGUAAUGGCCCACCAAGGCGACGACGGGUAGCUGGUCUGAGAGGAUGGCCAGCCACAUUGGGACUGAGACACGGCCCAGACUCCUACGGGAGGCAGCAGUGGGGAAUAUUGCGCAAUGGCCGAAAGGCUGACGCAGCGACGCCGCGUGCGGGAUGACGGCCUUCGGGUUGUAAACCGCUGUCGGGAGGGACGAAGCUCUGACGGUACCUCCAAAGGAAGCACCGGCUAACUCCGUGCCAGCAGCCGCGGUAAUACGGAGGGUGCGAGCGUUGUCCGGAAUCACUGGGCGUAAAGGGCGCGUAGGCGGCCCGGUAAGUAGGGGGUGAAAUCCUGCGGCUCAACCGCAGAACCGCCUUCUAGACUGCCAGGCUCGAGCACAGUAGAGGCAGACGGAAUUCCCGGUGUAGCGGUGGAAUGCGUAGAGAUCGGGAAGAACACCGGUGGCGAARGCGGUCUGCUGGGCUGUUGCUGACGCUGAGGCGCGACAGCGUGGGGAGCAAACAGGAUUAGAUACCCUGGUAGUCCACGCCGUAAACGAUGGGUACUAGGCGUCGGGGGGAGCGACCCUCCCGGUGCCGUCGCUAACGCACUAAGUACCCCGCCUGGGGAGUACGGCCGCAAGGCUGAAACUCAAAGGAAUUGACG
RNAcentral lists this ribosomal RNA (901 nucleotides) under uncultured bacterium. Its description in RNAcentral is "bacterial SSU rRNA". It matches the Rfam family "Bacterial small subunit ribosomal RNA", at positions 1 to 915 of the family's 1533-position model. The record is from RNAcentral.